CUGGGGUUGGGGCUCAGUGGUAGAGCGCUCACCUAGCACGUCCGAGGUGCUAGGUUCAAUCCUCAGCACCACAUA
This 75-nucleotide transfer RNA is filed under the name Marmota monax (woodchuck). RNAcentral's name for it is "tRNA.Ala". Lineage: Eukaryota; Metazoa; Chordata; Mammalia; Rodentia; Sciuridae. The record is from RNAcentral.